RNAcentral lists this non-coding RNA (45 nucleotides) under Trichobilharzia regenti. Lineage: Eukaryota; Metazoa; Platyhelminthes; Trematoda; Strigeidida; Schistosomatidae. The record is from RNAcentral.
AUCCAGCAGACGAGUCCAAAAUUGGACGAAAUGCGCAACCUGGAU